GAUCUGUAACUGUUUGUAGUCAUUUAUUAGUCGUGCUCGUAUAAAAUGUGUAAAGCGCCCACAUUCUGUCUGUCUGUCUGUAUGUCCACGUGAAAAGGUAAUCAGUCCACUGGAAUCCAAGUUAUCAUUUAUAGUGUUAUUCUUCAUCAAAAGUUCUUGGAAAUGUUUUGAUUUUGUUGAGAUUGCCCAAUAGUGCCUGCCGUACCAAUGUUUGAAAUUUGAAAAUGUGCCAUUUUAAAAGCAUUGACACUUUUUUUUUAAAUCUUCUAUCUUAAAACAGAGAAACAUUCUGUGCAACCAAAAUGCCAUUAAAAAACAUGGACUUCAGGUACUCUGCUAAUACACGUAAUGCCAUUCCAUUAUUACUGGUAUUUUUGAAAUGACUCUUUGUUAUGGAAACAUUUAGGAAACAAAAGUAUGAUAUCUGCCUGCUAGAUGAAGCAAAAAAAAUAUAUUAAAAUAUAAAUAAAUAAUUAAACAUGCUCCUCCAUUCACACUGGAACACAACUGACUUUGUGCCAGGCGUACAUUUUCUAACUUCUGGUGAACAUAGUUAAGGCCAUUGCAUUCAUCAAGAGCUUACAGUAUAGUGAGGUGGCACAUAAACAUGACAAGUGAGGCUAAGCUGAAAAAAAAUGUGUUAGUGCCACACAGGUGGCUUGGCAUUUAUUGACCACUUAACUUUACAUGAUCUUGUUAGUGCCACACAGGUGGCUUGGCAUUUAUUGACCACUUAACUUUACAUGAUCUUGUUAGUGCCACACAGGUGGCUUGGCAUUUAUUGACCACUUAACUUUAUGUGCCUUGUUAGUGCCACACAGGUGGCUUGGCAUUUAU
This is a long non-coding RNA of Erpetoichthys calabaricus (reedfish), 837 nucleotides long. RefSeq lists it as uncharacterized. The record is from RefSeq and is a predicted model, not a curated record. The transcript is spliced from 4 exons. Lineage: Eukaryota; Metazoa; Chordata; Cladistia; Polypteriformes; Polypteridae.